Molecule: long non-coding RNA, 1055 nt
Organism: Panicum virgatum (switchgrass)
Lineage: Eukaryota; Viridiplantae; Streptophyta; Magnoliopsida; Poales; Poaceae
Exons: 4
Source: RefSeq, a predicted model, not a curated record
GAUGCGCUUCUGACACUUGUGCGCAUACACUUCCUGUCUGCCUUGUCACAAAGGAUAUCUUGCUUGGGUCACCACCGAACUGCUCGAAAAGGACUAUGUCAUUGCUGCCUGGUUGGAGAAACAAUCGGGGAACGUGGUACCUAUUUAACAAGAAGGAUCUUCAGAGGAGAACGUAUAAAAUCAACAUAGAUGAGAUACUGGAACUGGUUCUUCAUGUUGUGAACAAAAAGGAUUGUUGAAAAAUAUUAGAGGAUUUUGUACGGGACUGUGGAAGUCUUACAAAGUCUGUGAUGGCUGCCCACACUUCUUGAGGCAUUUGCUCGAAGUGUAGGAUCCUCUAUAGUUGCAUGAGUUAACACAGCCGCUCUGUGGAGCUAUAUUUGUUGGCCAGUAUCGACCAAUGCUCUGGCCAUUCACCCAGGCUUCGCCUUUCCCCAAUCCCGUGAAGUCAAUGGCAACAGGAUCAUCACCUGCAGGGGCUGUGAAUUUUGUCUGUGUUUGGAGAACUGCAGUUAGUGCAUCGACCCAAGGAAACAACUCAAGGAAAUGGAUUAGCCAAACGAAUAUAAUGUAUAUAUCUUGUCUUUGAGCCCACUCUGGGUCCAUUUAAAUGUCAUAUAUGGGUUUCAUGGUCAGAUGAUCAUACUGACCUUGUACCAAAUCAGUGGUUGAUUGAUUGGAUAAGCAUUGGAUGAGACCCAUUCUGGUGAGGCCUCUGAAGGAUCAUACAGGUACUAGUGUAAUUGGUUUCUGCCAGGAGAUGAGUGAGCUGCUAGCACUACCUUGAGCGCUUCCUGUACCUGCUAUUUUACCAUUGACGUAGACCUGAAGAACAUGCCCAAGUGAGCUUACAAGCAGAUUGGAUUGGCUGCCAUUUAGAUAAGGUUCAUCACCUUUAACAGUAAUGCUGCACAGGUUACAUCAAUAUCACAAAUUGUGAGUAUUCUUUUGUCAGUGCACUCUACUAUAUGCAUAAUUACAAGAUGGCAUGCAAAUGUACCUUGUUGAGUACCAGAGGAAGUCACUGGCAUCUGCUGUGGUGUUUAUCUGCUCCA